GAACUUUCUGUUUUUCUGCAAUUUGACAGUCAGUUAUUAAUGGAAAAACAACAUAAAUAAACUACUUCAACAUAAUUUUUUCUUUAGGGCUUAAUUACGUGGUAUCGGAUCAGUGCAUAAACUCCAGUACUUCCUGAUACCGAUACUAGCCUUUUAGGCCGUAUUGAAGGCGAUAC
Etheostoma spectabile (orangethroat darter) is the source of this 176-nucleotide long non-coding RNA. RefSeq lists it as uncharacterized. The transcript has 3 exons. The record is from RefSeq and is a predicted model, not a curated record. NCBI's taxonomy places the organism in Eukaryota, Metazoa, Chordata, Actinopteri, Perciformes, Percidae.